RNAcentral lists this ribosomal RNA (506 nucleotides) under uncultured bacterium. Its description in RNAcentral is "partial 16S ribosomal RNA". It matches the Rfam family "Bacterial small subunit ribosomal RNA", at positions 28 to 523 of the family's 1533-position model. The record is from RNAcentral.
GAUGAACGCUAGCUACAGGCUUAACACAUGCAAGUCGAGGGGUAACGAGAGGAAAGCUUGCUUUCCUUGUCGACGACCGGCGCACGGGUGAGUAACGCGUAUCCAACCUGCCCCCAACUAGGGAAUAACCUUGCGAAAGUAAGACUAAUACCCUAUAAUUUCCUCAGAUGACAUCUGACGAGGAAUAAAGAUUUAUCGGUUGUGGAUGGGGAUGCGUCUGAUUAGCUUGUUGGCGGGGUAACGGCCCACCAAGGCAACGAUCAGUAGGGGUUUUUGGAGGAAGGUCCCCCACAUGGGAACUAGGACACGGUCCAAACUCCUACGGGAGGCAGCAGUGAGGAAUAUUGGUCAAUGGGCGGAAGCCUGAACCAGCCAAGUAGCGUGCAGGAUGACGGCCCUAUGGGUUGUAAACUGCUUUUAUACAGGAAUAAAGUUAGCCACGUGUGGUUAUUUGUAGGUACUGUAUGAAUAAGGACCGGCUAAUUCCGUGCCAGCAGCCGCCGUAA